RNAcentral lists this ribosomal RNA (253 nucleotides) under uncultured bacterium. RNAcentral describes it as "partial 16S ribosomal RNA". It matches the Rfam family "Bacterial small subunit ribosomal RNA", at positions 524 to 776 of the family's 1533-position model. The record is from RNAcentral.
UACGUAGGGUGCGAGCGUUAAUCGGAAUUACUGGGCGUAAAGCGUGCGCAGGCGGUUUUGUAAGCCAGAUGUGAAAUCCCCGGGCUCAACCUGGGAACUGCAUUUGUGACUGUAUGGCUAGAGUGCGGCAGAGGGGGAUGGAAUUCCGCGUGUAGCAGUGAAAUGCGUAGAUAUGCGGAGGAACACCGAUGGCGAAGGCAAUCCCCUGGGCCUGCACUGACGCUCAUGCACGAAAGCGUGGGGAGCAAACAGG